AGAAAGGACUUCUGUCAUGACUGGCACACAUAGGGCAACUUGAUUGCUCUAUGUGCAGAAUCAACAUCAAAGAGAUUUCAGAAGUGUGAUUUUUUGGUACCCAGACAGCUAGUGAUCAUUGGCCCUGGCACAUGA
Molecule: small nuclear RNA, 135 nt
Organism: Phyllostomus discolor (pale spear-nosed bat)
Lineage: Eukaryota; Metazoa; Chordata; Mammalia; Chiroptera; Phyllostomidae
Product: U11 spliceosomal RNA
Exons: 1
Source: RefSeq, a predicted model, not a curated record